This 253-nucleotide ribosomal RNA is filed under the name uncultured bacterium. RNAcentral describes it as "partial 16S ribosomal RNA". It matches the Rfam family "Bacterial small subunit ribosomal RNA", at positions 524 to 776 of the family's 1533-position model. The record is from RNAcentral.
UACGUAGGGUGCAGGCGUUAAUCGGAAUUACUGGGCGUAAAGCGUGCGCAGGCGGUUUGCUAAGAGAGAUGUGAAAUCCCCGGGCUUAACCUGGGAACUGCGUUUCUAACUGGCAGGCUUGAGUGUGGCAGAGGGGGGUGGAAUUCCACGUGUAGCAGUGAAAUGCGUAGAGAUGUGGAGGAACACCGAUGGCGAAGGCAGCCCCCUGGGCUAACACUGACGCUCAGGCACGAAAGCGUGGGGAGCAAACAGG